GAUGAACGCUGGCGGCGUGCCUAAUACAUGCAAGUCGAACGAGGUGCUCUUGUAGCAAUACGAGAGUAUCCUAGUGGCGAACGGGUGAGUAACGCGUUGGUGACCUACCCCAAAGUGUGGAAUAACAGUCCGAAAGGAUUGCUAAUACCGCAUGUGGUUAUCGGGUUUAGAAACUGAUAACUAAAGGAGCAAUUCGCUUUGGGAGGGACCUGCGUCCCAUCAGCUAGUUGGUGAGGUAAUGGCUCACCAAGGCUACGACGGGUAGGGGACCUGAGAGGGUGACCCCCCACAAUGGAACUGAAACACGGUCCAUACACCUACGGGUGGCAGCAGUAGGGAAUAUUGCACAAUGGGCGAAAGCCUGAUGCAGCAACGCCGCGUGCACGAUGAAGGCCUUCGGGUCGUAAAGUGCUUUUCUGGGAGAUGAGAAAGGACAGUAUCCCAGGAAUAAGUCUCGGCUAACUACGUG
This 469-nucleotide ribosomal RNA is filed under the name uncultured bacterium. Its description in RNAcentral is "partial 16S ribosomal RNA". It matches the Rfam family "Bacterial small subunit ribosomal RNA", at positions 28 to 507 of the family's 1533-position model. The record is from RNAcentral.